CAGGAACCGAGAGGACGCCGGGAUACUGGUUCCAUUCCCCCGCCGACCGGAACGCUGCUUUAGUGUUCGUUAGCUGAGACGCCACAGCUGUCCACAGCGCACCCAAGCUGCGGCGGGAAGCGGGGACACGUAACCUCAUCAAAUGUGGGAAGCGUGGCCCUAGACGCUUGAGCUCGGAGACACCGGCUGUUCCGGGUGUAUUGAGAUGUUUCCGACUUCCUGCAAAGGAUCCUUUACGGCGGGCGUAGGAGUUUUUCACUCCGCUAGACUGCGUGACUUUGCAGGCCUGAAGCUCUUUUGUAGCGCUCCACCGCCCUCUUGGGGAGUUCUUGAUAAUUAUUCUGCGUUUGUGCAGUGGACUUUGGGGUCGCUGCUUGUGGUCGGCAGUGACAAGGCCAGAAGGCUUAAUCGUGACUACUAAUUCUUCCGAGUCGAAAAAGACAACAUAAAAGGUAGCUUGACCUUGAUUAACUGGGCUGACAAAAGUGCAGGUGUUUAGUAGUUCUGGCCAGUUCCCAUCAUGGCUUGGGAGUGGUGGGUGCUCUCCAAGCACCAAGGAGACAUCUAGCUUGACAUUUGACCCUAGGAAGUACUGGCCCAAAAGAGGGGACUCAGAGGAAAUUUUUUUUCUCUUUCUUACCUACUUUCUCAAAACAAGUGUUGGAUGUAAUGCGGGGGCAGCAUUGGGAUCGUAUCAAUACUAAUAGUUGAAGGAGAUGGUAGAAAGUUGGAAUCUUCCAUCUCAAAUAAACUUCUAGGUCUCUCACAGCACCUUAAGGUGUGGCUUAGUUUUUGCUAUAGAAGUUUUCAUUGCUUGACACACUCUUGGUUCUGAGCUAAUGGGAAUGACUCAACUCAGGGAGGAAAUUAUACAUAUUUUACUUGCACAGCUUAAAAGCUUAUUAAACAUAUUUAUUGCUGAAUACAUUAACCACAGUGCUCUUAGUCAUGUUAAGGGCGAUUUUUUUCUGUCUGAAUGCAAUAACAAUUUGGCAUUACCCUUAUGGCAGCAUGGGUACAUGUCUCACUAUAGUCGAGGCUUUCUGGAGUUAUUUAGGGACGAGAUGGUUUCCUGCCACCAAAACAGAACUUAGUUAUUUCUGUAGUCAAUCUACUGCCCAAAGGGGCUGUUCAUUUACACACACUGAAUGUUCGCAACAUGCCAGACACUAUGCUUGUUAAUAAGACUAUAAAAUAACUUUAUGGGGCUCAAAUUCUAGUGGAAGAUAUAGACCACAAAGAAUAAAUAUGGUGAUGUAACAGUAACUGGGGGAAGCCCCUCUGAGGGAUAUUUGUGCUGAUACUUGAAGGUGGCAGUGUGAGAGAAACAAGAAAGCAUUGUGCUCAAAUUGCUUACAUUUUAUCUCCUAACCUAUUACACUCUUUUUUUCGCUGUUUUUCUUGUUUCCUAUGUUACUUUUAUGUGAAGAGGCUGGUCUUCUCAAGAAAUCAGAUGUUAAUUUUAACAUUUCUUGUUAUAUUUGGUAUAAUCCUGAAGUCUUUUUGGAAGUAUGGUUUUCUUCUUUCCCAAUAGACAGGUGCAAUAAAUAGUACUUAUGGUGAGCUUA
Non-coding RNA from Odocoileus virginianus texanus, 1568 nucleotides. The record is from RefSeq and is a predicted model, not a curated record. Lineage: Eukaryota; Metazoa; Chordata; Mammalia; Artiodactyla; Cervidae.